AUUAAAUUUUAGGGGUAAUUUUCAGAAAUUUUUUAAUUGUUCAUUAUUAUUUUUUCGGUGACAAGAUCACCGGAGUUCCGCCGGAAUCCGGCGAGUCCACCACCCGACGAAGACCCCUCAUUUUCCUUUCACAACCAGCUUCAAAGAACACUCUCCUUUUUCCGUUUUCCCGGCGAAACAACCUUUCUCCCUCACUGUUCUACCUACCAGACCCUUCACUCACUUUUUUCGGCGAGAUCCAUCGCCGCUCCAGCGAGCUCAACAACCACCAGUCCUCAACCCCGUUUCCCUCUCCUUCACCACAGCACCGCCCGAAACCAGUAACAAACUAACCCAAAACCCGCCUGAAACCACAACCAAAACCACCCGAUCUCCGGUGAACCAGCAACCAGAAAACGACAUUUCCGGAGAAGGAGCACGAAGGUCAAACAACAGCAGCCAAACACGACCCCGUCGUGAAUCCAACACCGGCGAACUCCUGAUUUCCAGUGAGCCAUCAAACGAACCAGACCCACACCAUUGUUAUUUUUCGGCAUUUCUUGGAAAAGUCAAGUUUGAAGGAUUUAGAGCUUGAAAUCACUAAAGCACACCAGCGAAAGAACCGACAUCCUACAAGACCUAGUUAGCGUCUCGCCGGUUAUACACUGGCUUGGCUGGAAAAAAACUUCCUAAGUACCUACGACUCAUUAGUGUUGCACAAUUUUUGAUCGGCAUUCCGCAAUUCCAGUGCAGGUGUUGCUAAAGAAACAAAAGGCUGAAGCGACAAUGUGAUUGAUGUUGAACAUUCUUAGAUCGCCGUUCCACCGAUCCAAUGCAAGUUGAGGAGUAGAAUCCCAAGGUAAAAACAUACCUAGAGGCUAAAGUGCUUCUUUUGGAAGGUUUCAUGGAUAGAAUAGGAAUUUUUGUAAUUAUGUACCUUAAUCUUUUUUCUAAUUGACAAUCAUUAAGAAUUAAGAACUUUUUGAAUAACAUUGUAGUGAUUGAAAUUA
This is a long non-coding RNA of Solanum tuberosum (potato), 989 nucleotides long. RefSeq lists it as uncharacterized. Lineage: Eukaryota; Viridiplantae; Streptophyta; Magnoliopsida; Solanales; Solanaceae. The record is from RefSeq and is a predicted model, not a curated record. The transcript is spliced from 2 exons.